RNAcentral lists this ribosomal RNA (774 nucleotides) under uncultured Neocallimastigales. Its description in RNAcentral is "partial large subunit ribosomal RNA". It matches the Rfam family "Eukaryotic large subunit ribosomal RNA", at positions 22 to 644 of the family's 3401-position model. The record is from RNAcentral. Lineage: Eukaryota; Fungi; Neocallimastigomycota; Neocallimastigomycetes; Neocallimastigales.
CAUAGCGACUAUCGUGGCAUAUCAAUAAGCGGAGGAAAAGAAACUAACAAGGAUUCCCUUAGUAACGGCGAGUGAAGCGGGAAGAGCUCAAAUUUGAAAUCUUCAAGGUUUUACCUUGACGAAUUGUAGUUUAAAGAAGUGUUUUCUGUUGGAGUUUUGGUAAAAGUUCUUUGGAAUAGGACAUCAUAGAGGGUGAGAAUCCCGUAUUUGACCAUUAUUUCCAGCUGUGUGAUACACUUUCAAAGAGUCGGAUUGUUUGGGAAUGCAGUCCAAAAUGGGUGGUAAAUUUCAUCUAAAGCUAAAUAUUGGCGAGAGACCGAUAGCGAACAAGUACCGUGAGGGAAAGAUGAAAAGAACUUUGAAAAGAGAGUUAAACAGUACGUGAAAUUGUCAAAAGGGAAGCGUUUGACACCAGUGUUGUUUAGUUGAAAAUCAAUUCAAUAGUUUUUGAUUCUAAGUAGUAUUGACUUCAUCAGCUUGCUGCUUUCUUCUCAGAAAUUAUUGAAUGCACUUUUCAGUUAACAAGUCAACAUCAAUUUCUUUUGUUGUAAAAGGGUAAGAGGAAGGUGGCUUGCGCUUCGGCUCAAGUGUUUAUAGCCUUUUAUCUCUGCAAUCGGAGAGAUUGAGGUCUGCAGCGUAGAUCCUUCGGGGUUAGAUACAUUGGUGCUAAGCUAUAGCCUUGUAUAGACAACUUGUUGACUAUGCUCAGUCAUGUAGCUUACUCGCUGAUGCUAUUUUACCUACGCUUAGGAUGUUGAUAGUCACAGCGUGUAC